Molecule: ribosomal RNA, 693 nt
Filed under: Diversispora epigaea
Lineage: Eukaryota; Fungi; Glomeromycota; Glomeromycetes; Diversisporales; Diversisporaceae
Description: SSU rRNA
Rfam family: Eukaryotic small subunit ribosomal RNA
Source: RNAcentral
AGCCUGAGAAACGGCUACCACAUCCAAGGAAGGCAGCAGGCGCGCAAAUUACCCAAUCCCGACACGGGGAGGUAGUGACAAUAAAUAACAAUACGGGGCUCAUUUGGGUCUCGUAAUUGGAAUGAGUACAAUUUAAAUCUCUUAACGAGGAACAAUUGGAGGGCAAGUCUGGUGCCAGCAGCCGCGGUAAUUCCAGCUCCAAUAGCGUAUAUUAAAGUUGUUGCAGUUAAAAAGCUCGUAGUUGAACUUCGGGGUUCACCCAUUGGUCAGGCUUAAUUGUCUGUACUGGUGAGAUGAGUCUCUACCUUCUGAGGAACUUUCAUGCCAUUUAUUUGGUGUGAUUGGAAAUCAGGACUGUUACUUUGAAAAAAUUAGAGUGUUUAAAGCAGACUAACGUCUGAAUACAUUAGCAUGGAAUAAUGAAAUAGGACGGAUUGAUUCUAUUUCGUUGGUUUCUAGGAUCACCGUAAUGAUUAAUAGGGAUAGUUGGGGGCAUUAGUAUUCAAUUGUCAGAGGUGAAAUUCUUGGAUUUAUUGAAGACUAACUACUGCGAAAGCAUUUGCCAAGGAUGUUUUCAUUAAUCAAGAACGAAAGUUAGGGGAUCGAAGACGAUCAGAUACCGUCGUAGUCUUAACCAUAAACUAUGCCGACUAGGGAUCGGACGCAGUUAAUUUUAUAAUGACGUGUUCGGCA